This 243-nucleotide ribosomal RNA is filed under the name uncultured bacterium. RNAcentral's name for it is "partial 16S ribosomal RNA". It matches the Rfam family "Bacterial small subunit ribosomal RNA", at positions 94 to 334 of the family's 1533-position model. The record is from RNAcentral.
AGCGGCGGACGGGUGAGUAACGCGUGGGUAACCGUGCCUCAUACAGGGGGAUAACAGUUGGAAACGGGCUGCUAAUACCGCAUAAGCGCACAGUACCGCAUGGUACCGUGUGAAAAACUACCGGUGGUAUGAGAUGGACCCGCGUCUGAUUAGGUAGUUGGUGGGGUAACGGCCUACCAAGCCGACGAUCAGUAGCCGACCUGAGAGGGUGACCGGCCACAUUGGGACUGAGACAUGGCCCAA